This 253-nucleotide ribosomal RNA is filed under the name uncultured prokaryote. Its description in RNAcentral is "partial 16S ribosomal RNA". It matches the Rfam family "Bacterial small subunit ribosomal RNA", at positions 525 to 777 of the family's 1533-position model. The record is from RNAcentral.
ACGUAGGGAGCAAGCGUUGUCCGGAUUCACUGGGUGUAAAGGGUGCGUAGGCGGGACAAUAAGUCAGUGGUGAAAUCUUACGGCUCAACCGUGAAACUGCCAUUGAUACUGUUGUUCUUGAGUUCGGGAGAGGUUGAUGGAAUUCCAGGUGUAGCGGUGAAAUGCGUAGAUAUCUGGAAGAACACCAGUGGCGAAGGCGGUCAACUGGCCCGAAACUGACGCUGAGGCACGAAAGCGUGGGUAGCGAACAGGA